UACGGUCAUAUCACAUGGAAACACCUGUUCAGGUACGAUCACAGAAGUUAAGCAACGUCGAAUCUGGUCAGUACUGAGAUGGGUGACUACUUUUGAAU
Molecule: non-coding RNA, 98 nt
Organism: Acanthosepion pharaonis
Lineage: Eukaryota; Metazoa; Mollusca; Cephalopoda; Sepiida; Sepiidae
Source: the annotation of a GenBank genome assembly